GAUGAACGCUGGCGGCGUGCCUAACACAUGCAAGUCGAGCGAACAGACGAGGAGCUUGCGCUUCUGCCGUUGGCGACGGGCGGGUGAGUAACACGUACAUAACCUUCUUCUAUGUCUUGGAUAACUUCGGGAGGCCGCAGACACUACUAGAGAAUAUGUCGAACGGGUGGGAGCAGUAGAGAUUCGGCGUUUUGGUGUUUCUUUGAGACGGAUCCGCGUCGGAUUAGCUAGUUGGUAAGGUAACGGCUUACCAAGGCGACGAUGCGUAGCCGAGCUGAGAGGAUGAUCAGCCACACUGGAACUGAGACACGGUCCAGACUCCUACGGGAGGCAGCAGUGGGGAAUAUUGGACAAAGGGCGAAAGCCUGAUCCAGCCAUGCCGCGUGGGUGAAGAAGGUCUUCGGGUCGUAAAACCCUGUUAUUGGGGAAGAAAAGCUGUGUGAUUAACCAUGCCUGUUUUGACGGUACCUAAUGAAUAAGCACCGGCUAACUACGUG
RNAcentral lists this ribosomal RNA (497 nucleotides) under uncultured bacterium. Its description in RNAcentral is "partial 16S ribosomal RNA". It matches the Rfam family "Bacterial small subunit ribosomal RNA", at positions 28 to 507 of the family's 1533-position model. The record is from RNAcentral.